This is a long non-coding RNA of Oncorhynchus keta (chum salmon), 725 nucleotides long. RefSeq lists it as uncharacterized. The record is from RefSeq and is a predicted model, not a curated record. The transcript has 3 exons. NCBI's taxonomy places the organism in Eukaryota, Metazoa, Chordata, Actinopteri, Salmoniformes, Salmonidae.
GUGUGUGUGUAGAUGUGUGUGUGUAGGUGUGUGUGUGUGUAGAUGCGUGUGUAGAUGUGUGUGUGUGUAGAUGUGUGUGUGUGCGUAGAUGUAUGUGUGUGUGUGUGUGUAGAUGUGUGUGUGUGUGUACGUGUGUGCGUAGAUGUGUGUGUGUGUGUAGAUGUGUGUAGGUGUGUGUAGGUGUAGAUGUGUGUAGGUGUGUGUAGGUGUGUAGGUGUAGAUGUGUGUAGGUGUGUGUAGGUGUGUAGGUGUAGAUGUGUGUGUAGGUGUGUGUGUGUGUAGGUGUGUGUGUGUAGAUGUGUGUGUGUAGGUGUAGAUGUGUAGGUGUGUGUGUAGAUGUAUGUGUAGGUGUGUGUGUGUGUAGAUGUGUGUGUGUGUAGAUGUGUGUGUGUGUGUGUGUGUGUGUAGGUGUGUGUGUAGGUGUGUGUGUAGACGUGUGUGUGUGUGUAGACGUGUGUGUGUGUGUAGACGUGUGUGUGUGUGUAGACGUGUGUGUGUGUGUAGACGUGUGUGUGUGUGUGUAGACGUGUGUGUGUGUAGACGUGUGUGUGUGUAGACGUGUGUGUGUGUAGACGUGUGUGUGUGUGUGUAGACGUGUGUGUGUGUGUGUAGACGUGUGUGUGUGUAGACGUGUGUGUGUGUAGACGUGUGUGUGUGUAGACGUGUGUGUGUGUGGGCGUGUGUGUGUGUGUGUGUGUGUGUGUGUGUGUGUGUGUAGGUGUGUG